CUUCAGUGAUGAGACGAUGACGAGUCGGAACAGAACUCAGUCUGGUUCUGGUGGUUGACUGGUUCGGGUUCACGUUCUGUGGUUCUGGUCCAGUUCCUCAGAGCAGGGAGUUCUUUUGGUUGAAGACAUCGAGGCAUUUGUCUGAGAAGG
RNAcentral lists this small nucleolar RNA (150 nucleotides) under Seriola lalandi dorsalis. The record is from RNAcentral. Lineage: Eukaryota; Metazoa; Chordata; Actinopteri; Carangiformes; Carangidae.